UCUUUUCUCUUUCUCCCUGCUUUCUUUCUUAUUUCUUUCUACCCAGUUCGACCCUCUCUCUACGGUGUACUAUUCAUCAUCUUCCUCCUCCAUUCUCCUUCAUCUUUCACUCAACUUCAAGCCAAAAACUUGGGUUUUUGUGGGAUUUUCGGGUUUCUCUCUAGAUUUCUAGGUGUUCUUGAGUCUUUGGUGAAGCUUUUGAGCUUUCUCCAAGAGAAUUUCUUGCUCAAUGACGAUGUUUGGCACUAUUGGAGUUGGAUUGCAAGGCCCUUGCCUUGUUGGUUAUAUGUUGGUGUCUUGCUUGGAAUUCAUGGACUUCAAGGGGGAGAAAUCUCUGACUUACUCUUGUCAUUAUUUACUCUUGUCUCUAAUUUCAAUUUGUGAUUAUUUACUUGUUUCUUUUUGUUUUAUAAAUAACUUGUGUUUUUCUUUCAUACUUGGACUUUUCAUUGAAAUUACUUUCAAGAAAAUACUUUGUAACAUUGAGGACAAUGUUAAGUUCAAGUGUGGGGGGAUUGUGUGUUAUUGUUUUUUUGAUUAAAUAAAUAAAUUAAAAAAAAAAAAAGUCUUUUCUUUUCUAGUUUUGUGUGUGUAUUUUUUUAGGUUCCUUCCAACACCAAUGAUGAACUUGAGCUUAAUAUAAAUGUGGGCUAGAAAGCAUGUUUGGGUCUUAUGAGCUUUAUUUUUCAAAAUAAAUCACUAUGGAUCAAGUGUUUGCUUUCAUUUAUAUCCAUAUUUGUCAUGUCAAUAUAUUGAGCUAGAGAAGCAUAGUGAGACUUGUGGGAGCCAUUACAUGCCAUAUAGUGAGAUUUGAGCUUAAUUGGAGUGCAUACAUGCCUUAUAAGCACUGAUUUCUUCAUGAGUGAACAUCUCAUUUGCUUUGCAUCUCUAGAACUUGCUUCAUAUCUUUCGAAACUCUUUGUCUCAAUGUUACAUCUUGGAAAUGAUUUAGGCAACUAGGAAUCCACCAUGGCCAAAUGAGUAUGUCCCAAAAGAUUGAAUAUCCUUAGAUUGCCAUUUUGAGCCUUUGUGUAAUUAGCCUUUCAAUUCUUCACACCAUAAAUGUUUACCCUUAACUUAAACACUUGCCUUACCCUUUCAAGUUUUCUUAAUGAGCAAUACGAGAUUGUUUGUGUUAUGAUGCUAAAAGAAACAAGUUUGGGGGUACUCGGAAAAGAAUAAGUUUGGGGGUGUUCUUUGUUUUGCAAUUUUACUUUUUAUUAGUGAAAAAAAAAAAAAAAAAAAAAAAAAGAAGAAGAAGAAGUGAAA
Long non-coding RNA from Rosa chinensis, 1269 nucleotides. RefSeq lists it as uncharacterized. The record is from RefSeq and is a predicted model, not a curated record. Lineage: Eukaryota; Viridiplantae; Streptophyta; Magnoliopsida; Rosales; Rosaceae. The transcript is spliced from 2 exons.